This 464-nucleotide ribosomal RNA is filed under the name uncultured bacterium. Its description in RNAcentral is "bacterial SSU rRNA". It matches the Rfam family "Bacterial small subunit ribosomal RNA", at positions 330 to 792 of the family's 1533-position model. The record is from RNAcentral.
UCCAGACUCCUACGGGAGGCAGCAGUGAGGAAUAUUGGUCAAUGGUCGGGAGACUGAACCAGCCAAGCCGCGUGAGGGAGGAAGGUACAGAGUAUCGUAAACCUCUUUUGUCAGGGAACAAAGGCGGGGACGUGUCCCCGGAUGAGUGUACCUGAAGAAAAAGCAUCGGCUAACUCCGUGCCAGCAGCCGCGGUAAUACGGAGGAUGCGAGCGUUAUCCGGAUUUAUUGGGUUUAAAGGGUGCGUAGGCGGGAUGCCAAGUCAGCGGUCAAAUGCGGGGGCUCAACCUGCGUCCGCCGUUGAAACUGGCGUUCUUGAGUGAGCGAGAAGUAUGCGGAAUGCGUGGUGUAGCGGUGAAAUGCAUAGAUAUCACGCAGAACUCCGAUUGCGAAGGCAGCAUACCGGCGCUCAACUGACGCUCAUGCACGAAAGCGUGGGUAUCGAACAGGAUUAGAUACCCCCGUA